GACGAACGCUGGCGGCGUGCCUAAUACAUGCAAGUAGAACGCUGAAGAGAGGAGCUUACUCUUCUUGGAUGAGUUGCGAACGGGUGAGUAACGCGUAGGUAACCUGCCUUGUAGCGGGGGAUAACUAUUGGAAACGAUAGCUAAUACCGCAUAACAAUGGAUGACACAUGUCAUUUAUUUGAAAGGGGCAAUUGCUCCACUACAAGAUGGACCUGCGUUGUAUUAGCUAGUAGGUGAGGUAAUGGCUCACCUAGGCGACGAUACAUAGCCGACCUGAGAGGGUGAUCGGCCACACUGGGACUGAGACACGGCCCAGACUCCUACGGGAGGCAGCAGUAGGGAAUCUUCGGCAAUGGGGGCAACCCUGACCGAGCAACGCCGCGUGAGUGAAGAAGGUUGUCGGAUCGUAAAGCUCUGUUGUAAGUCAAGAACGGGUGUGAGAGUGGAAAGCUCACACUGUGACGGUAGCUUACCAGAAAGGGACGGCUAACUACGUG
This 497-nucleotide ribosomal RNA is filed under the name uncultured bacterium. RNAcentral describes it as "partial 16S ribosomal RNA". It matches the Rfam family "Bacterial small subunit ribosomal RNA", at positions 28 to 507 of the family's 1533-position model. The record is from RNAcentral.